AUUGAACGCUGGCGGCAGGCCUAACACAUGCAAGUCGAGCGGAAACGAUGGAAGCUUGCUUCCAGGCGUCGAGCGGCGGACGGGUGAGUAAUGCAUAGGAAUCUGCCCGAUAGUGGGGGAUAACGUGGGGAAACUCACGCUAAUACCGCAUACGUCCUACGGGAGAAAGCAGGGGAUCUUCGGACCUUGCGCUAUCGGAUGAGCCUAUGUCGGAUUAGCUAGUUGGUGAGGUAACGGCUCACCAAGGCGACGAUCCGUAGCUGGUCUGAGAGGAUGAUCAGCCACACUGGGACUGAGACACGGCCCAGACUCCUACGGGAGGCAGCAGUGGGGAAUAUUGGACAAUGGGGGAAACCCUGAUCCAGCCAUGCCGCGUGUGUGAAGAAGGCCUUCGGGUUGUAAAGCACUUUCAGCGAGGAAGAAGGCCUGAGGGCUAAUACCCUUCAGGAAGGACAUCACUCGCAGAAGAAGCACCGGCUAACUCCGUGCCAGCAGCCGCGGUAAUACGGAGGGUGCGAGCGUUAAUCGGAAUUACUGGGCGUAAAGCGCGCGUAGGUGGCUUGAUAAGCCGGUUGUGAAAGCCCCGGGCUCAACCUGGGAACGGCAUCCGGAACUGUCAGGCUAGAGUGCAGGAGAGGAAGGUAGAAUUCCCGGUGUAGCGGUGAAAUGCGUAGAGAUCGGGAGGAAUACCAGUGGCGAAGGCGGCCUUCUGGACUGACACUGACACUGAGGUGCGAAAGCGUGGGUAGCAAACAGG
RNAcentral lists this ribosomal RNA (757 nucleotides) under uncultured Halomonas sp. RNAcentral describes it as "bacterial SSU rRNA". It matches the Rfam family "Bacterial small subunit ribosomal RNA", at positions 28 to 776 of the family's 1533-position model. The record is from RNAcentral. Lineage: Bacteria; Pseudomonadati; Pseudomonadota; Gammaproteobacteria; Oceanospirillales; Halomonadaceae.